CCUAACACAUGCAAGUCGAACGGUAACAGGAAGAAGCUUAGCUUCUUUGCUGACGAGUGGCGGACGGGUGAGUAAUAGUCUGGGAAACUAGCCUGAUGGAGGGGGAUAACUACUGGAAACGGUAGCUAAUACCGCAUAACGUCGCAAGACCAAAGAGGGGGACCUUCGGGCCUCUUGCCAUCGGAUGUGCCCAGAUGGGAUUAGCUAGUAGGUGGGGUAACGGCUCACCUAGGCGACGAUCCCUAGCUGGUCUGAGAGGAUGACCAGCCACACUGGAACUGAGACACGGUCCAGACUCCUACGGGAGGCAGCAGGGGGGAAUAUUGCACAAUGGGCGCAAGCCUGAUGCAGCCAUGCCGCGUGUAUGAAGAAGGCCUUCGGGUUGUAAGACAA
This 393-nucleotide ribosomal RNA is filed under the name uncultured bacterium. RNAcentral describes it as "bacterial SSU rRNA". It matches the Rfam family "Bacterial small subunit ribosomal RNA", at positions 47 to 433 of the family's 1533-position model. The record is from RNAcentral.